Molecule: transfer RNA, 666 nt
Filed under: uncultured bacterium
Lineage: Bacteria
Description: partial 16S-23S ribosomal RNA intergenic spacer
Rfam family: tRNA (bases 120-193)
Source: RNAcentral
GUAGGGGAACCUGCGGCUGGAUCACCUCCUUUACGAGAAACGCCGCUCACACGAUCACAAGUUCCCACACAAGUAGUCUGGCAGACCGCAUUUAUUGCAAGUGCUCUAGUACCGAACACGGGUCUAUAGCUCAGUUGGUUAGAGCGCACCCCUGAUAAGGGUGAGGCCGGUGGUUCGAGUCCACCUAGACCCACCACUCUUGCAUCGCAAAAGGUUCAUGGGGCCAUAGCUCAGCUGGGAGAGCGCCUGCCUUGCACGCAGGAGGUCGUCGGUUCGAUCCCGUCUGGCUCCACCACUUUCUGGUCAACGUCGCAGUAACAUUAGUAAUAAUGACACUAAGCACAUGACACCAAAAAGGCAUUGCAAUAAAUGUACACAACCACGGUAACUUCAGAAGUCACCGCAAAGCAAACCCUCUUUCAUCAUACCAUGAAGCAGUCGUUUAUUUUGCACUGGCUUUUGUCAGUUCAACCUAAGUCAUAGGUCGUUCUUUAACAAAAUGGAAAAAUAUCAAGGCGAAAUGUAUAACUGAGAAGAUUAUAUAUCUCAAGAUUGAUCGUUACGAGAUUAUAGACACGCUGUAACCCAGGUUUACCGCACAAAAGGUAGUAGACUGUUUCGGGUUAUAGGAUCAAGUGACUAAGCGUACACGGUGGAUGCCUUGGC